GAGUCAUUGGGACUCUGUUAAACCUAAAGGCGCAAUGAAAGUAAAGGUCCGCCUCGCGCGGACCGAGGGAGGAUGGGCCCGUCCCCGGACGGGCCCCGCACUCCCGGGGCGUCUCGUUCUCAUCGCGAGAAGAGGCGCACCCAGAGCGUACACGCUGGGACCCGAAAGAUGGUGAACUAUGCCUGGUCAGGACGAAGUCAGGGGAAACCCUGAUGGAGGUCCGUAGCGAUUCUGACGUGCAAAUCGAUCGUCGGAACUGGGUAUAGG
This 267-nucleotide ribosomal RNA is filed under the name Apotolamprus sp. 1 HKW-2010. Its description in RNAcentral is "partial 28S ribosomal RNA". It matches the Rfam family "Eukaryotic large subunit ribosomal RNA", at positions 688 to 921 of the family's 3401-position model. Lineage: Eukaryota; Metazoa; Arthropoda; Insecta; Coleoptera; Scarabaeidae. The record is from RNAcentral.